Corvus hawaiiensis (hawaiian crow) is the source of this 4075-nucleotide long non-coding RNA. RefSeq lists it as uncharacterized. NCBI's taxonomy places the organism in Eukaryota, Metazoa, Chordata, Aves, Passeriformes, Corvidae. The transcript has 2 exons. The record is from RefSeq and is a predicted model, not a curated record.
CCCCCGAGCCGCCAACCCGGGGGCUCCCAGCGCUGCCCGGGCGGCCUCUGGCCCGCCCCGCCGUGGGUCACCUGCGGCCGGCCCGGGGCUGGCGGGAUGCUCGGCUCCCAGAGGCUCCCCGGGAGCCGCGGGUAGCGUGCGGUGCUGCCCGGGAGGACGCGGCGCUCCCGCUCCCUCCGCUUCGGAGGCGGCUGCGGCCAGGCAGCGCUGCCAGCUCGGGUUACCCCGCGGGUCCCCGGCUCACACGGCAGCAGAAGCAUCAGCGCCUGGGGUAGCCUUAAUGCUGAGCCAAGUGUGUCAGACAGGAGUGAGGGGGAACCGAAGGAAGUGCCCGCCUAUACCUCCGUCUAAAGCAUAUAGAUAGGAAAAACAGCAACAAUGGUGGCUUUACCGGAGAGGCUGCUGCAGAAUGAAUAAUGCACUUUCUAGUAACUAACAUGGCACAGACACCAAGGCACCGAGCUCUUCUGUACCUACUCCUAAAUCUCCACAGCCAGCUCCAGAACAAAUGCCUGCCUCAUCCUUCUCAAGGAAAGGAAGCCCUGCAGUUUUUAUUUAUGGUUUAAAUCAAAAAGAGCAACCACUACGAACACCUGAAAGGUAGAACGUUUUUAUACUGAAAUAACUGAGGAGGGAACACAACACAACACAGUUAAUAGAGUUCAGACCCAGAUUCUAUAUGCUCCUAUCAAGUAACUCUCUGAACCAGGAUUAUCCCAUUUCAACAAACACAGGAAAUACAAAACAAACAAAAAGCAAACCAAUUAGACUGAACGUAAAUGAUACUUAUGGAUUCUGCUGCUGCUCACAUAUAAAUAUUUUGGCAGAAACGUUGGAUUCCUAAUUUGCAGGUAUUUCCCUUUUUUGUUAGUUUCAGGCAGGUACUGAUGGUAAGUGGUUCUGUAGUAUUGAAUUGAUGUUGCAAAUGCUCAGCUGCACAAUUUCAUAAGCAAGCAGCUGCCCCCACACAGCAGCUGUCAAACCACCACCCUGCCCAAAGAUAAAUGCAUGGUGUAUUCUGCCACUAAUACAGUCUCAGGAAAAGAGGAAGUAGUGUGUAAGAUUUCCUAGAACCAAUCUCUGUUUACAGCUGAACUGUAGGUGACACAAGGUAUGACAGAUGCUAUUUGAAAUACAGAGUUUGAAUCAGUUUACAGUAGUUUAUAUACUACAUAUUUAAAUAUGCAUUAUCCUUCUAAACACGCAUAGAAGUAUCUAAACUAUGUACUCACCACAAUAGCAGCUUUCUAAUCCUUUUGGCUGAUUUUUAUCAUCAAGAAAAGUGCUAGAUUCUGCAAAUUACAAAACAGUCAUUUGAUUUUGACCAUUUCAAUGUCACUGUUCAACAGUUUACUGUUAAAACUUUCAGGUGCAAUGUAUAAGGUAAAAGGUAGAUGUGAAAUACUACGAGAUACUGGCCCAAGAAAGAAGUCAUGGAGUACAGAGUAUGCCACUUCAGUGUGUCUGAACAAGGCUCAGGACAGUAGCAGCCCACACUUUAUACCGCUAUUUUGUAACUUGUGCAAAAUUAACAAAUUAACUUCAAUUCUGCAAGCAAAGUAUUACUGAUUUGCAGCUUGCACCACAGAAGUAGAUGUUACGGGUUGUGAUUAAUGUGAAAUGUUCAUUUUCCUGUUACAAUCUAGUUGAAUAAACAGGAAUUUUAUUUUUCAAAGUUUUUCUUGUUUGUCUAACACACAAGUAUACAAAGAUAAGAUUUUUUUUUAUGGCUAUGCUGGUUGAAGAGACAAUAUAGCAUUGUCUAAAGGAUUUUGUAUUUCUUUUGCAGUGUCAAAUUAAAAUUUGCUCAAACCCAAAAAGAGAUGAAGAAAAGGUGGUAGUAAUUAUCCCUUCAAUUAAGAAAUUCAGGACACGCAGUACGUUGAUAUACAGUUCUCUUCCUUCACUAUCCUCUAUGCAUACAGCAAAAUCUAAACAUUUACUUAGUGAAUAUAGAAGUUAAACUGAGCCACUGCAAAAAUGUCAUCAGAUAUUUACUAAAUAUGUUUAUAAUGUGAAGAUAGAAUUUACCAGUAAACAAAAGUGAGUUAUGAAAGGAAUUCUGGGUUGCUAUUUACUCAAACAUUCUUUUGGUUUCAACAUUUUCUGUUUCAACUGCUUUAAUUUUGUGGAUGAUCUACCAGAAAAAUAUCUAGUCUGUGUCACAGGCUAAUGGGGUGACUUUCUCAUAUCUCCUAGCACAUUUUAUGAUGUAUUUUUUUGGUAUCUUGCAUGGUUGCAGAAAUGGGGAUUACACUAUAUGAAGUAAUGUUACAUGAUAUGUGGGCUGGAAGUUCAUUAAUCUGGUGAAAUAUGUAGCACAUCAUCAACUUCUGGUGUGUCAUUUUAAAGAAUAUGCUUAUACAUUAGAAGUACUUACAUUGUUGACAACUUUAAAAUAGUGCCCACCUGGGUUCUCAAACCACUAGAAAAAUACAUUGUCAUAAGCCAAGGACUUAAAACAACUUCUGCUCUCUGCUGCUGAACAGAGCUGCUAAUAAGGGUCAUCCAUUCUUUCCCACAGCCACUUGAGUCUCUGCAAACAUUUGGGCUCUGAAGAACAUCUAGACAAACAGAUUUCUAUAUGGUCUCCAAAACACUUGUCAGCCACUUGAAGUUUCACUUAAGGAAAAAAAAAACAAGGCAACUAAGAAGCAAUUCUGAUGAUCCAGUUGAUCACCAUUUCCUGUGACAAACAGAAAGAUGAACUCUUAGAUUAACUGAGAUCCAGCAACUCAGUGAUAUUUGAGUUCCUUGAUCAAACCAUGCAAUCAAACCCAAAAAUAAAAGACACCAAGAACAAGACAUAUAAGAUCAUUGCAACAUGCACAGUGGAAUUUUCCAUAACAUAUAAGCAACUAUUUUUCCACAAUGCUAAUUCUUCCAGGUGAUUUUUGAGACUCUUGUAGCUGUAUUUUGGAAGACAUAGAUGACAUGGCUUGUGGUGGCAGGGCCCAGAAUCAGGGCAGGUUAAUUACAGGUUGAUUAUAAGAGGGAAUGAUAGAAGAGACAUAGACUACACUUUACAGCUGGGUAUCACCUGGGAAACAAUGACCCUAAAUAUUCAACUAUAUACACACUUUAAAUCAAGACCAGUACAUUCCUCUAGUGAAAGACACGCUACUUGCUAACCAUGCCUUGGUGCACCUCCCUGUGUUUAUCAGCAUCAUGAACAGAAAUCAUUUUACACAGUGCCCAAAUUAUUAACAUGUAACUGAUCCUCAGAGACAUACCUAUUUGUCCUGCUAUUUGGCUCCCAUAAAAACACUGAACUGAAAUUUUCAGUGCUGGUGAUCUUCGUGCUCAGCAGCAGAGGUGCAAAGUACUGGUCUCCCUCCUUGCUGGCCUUGGGCUAGCCAGUCCAUCUUACUCAAACACUCCUUCCUCUCCUCCUGAAGGAUGGUGAGCAGAAUUGUCAUAUUUCAGGCAAAUUGUUGUGAACUGUUGCAAAUAAAAAAAUCUCACUGGAAGUACUGUGAUAUGCUGGGAGCUCAUUUCAUAAAGUGUUUCUUUAUUUCAAUUUGUAUGAACUUUUGCAAUAAUUGCAUUUUUUUAAUCUGUAAAUUUACUCUAACCCAAGUGAGCAAAAAUAAGUAUGUCCAUCUUACAUGUUUCUUUAUUAAGAGGGCCUUUAUUAUGCCAAUGAAAACAAACAGUGUGGGAAAGUUUUAGUGUGUGUAUUUUUUUAAGUACGUUACAAGCACAAACAGUAAUUACAUCCAGACAACCAAUUAACUGGUUUAAAUCUAAAAAAAUAAAAUAAAUUAGGUAACUCGAAAUAAAACAAGUAUCCAUUUUUCUUAAUGCUGUUGGGUCAGACAAGCUGUGAUAAGUAGCUAUGGAGUUCAGUAAUGAUAGAUAUGGGGACAUAUUUCACCCAAGACUUUAACUUCAUUUUUACAAAUGAUUUUAUUUGAAGUUUUCAUCUGUCAGCAGAGUUUACAGUGAUGGAGAAAGAAAUCCAACCUACAUAAGCAUAUAAUUCCAUAACUUGUGAUACUGUGCAAAGUGUUGUAAUAUUUCUGUAAUAUAAGAAAUAUAAGAAGAAAUAAAAUAAGUUCUUUCUUGGCUUAGA